UGUUACGCAAUGAGAACAUUGCAGAACUAUUCUUUCACGUUUUGCUAAAGACUACCGUGUGCUCAUUGCAAAUAGUGGCAUAUAUAUAUAUAUUUAUGGAUCCACUCAGAUUGCAUUCU
Solanum pennellii is the source of this 119-nucleotide small nuclear RNA. RefSeq annotates it as U5 spliceosomal RNA. The transcript has a single exon. The record is from RefSeq and is a predicted model, not a curated record. NCBI's taxonomy places the organism in Eukaryota, Viridiplantae, Streptophyta, Magnoliopsida, Solanales, Solanaceae.